GAAUGGAGGCCCGAACCCACGCACGUUGAAAAGUGCGGGGAUGAGGUGUGGGUAGCGGAGAAAUUCCAAUCGAACCUGGAGAUAGCUGGUUCUCUCCGAAAUAGCUUUAGGGCUAGCCUCAUGUUGUGAGAGUCUUGGAGGUAGAGCACUGAUUGGACUAGGGGCCCCCAACGGGUUACCGAAUUCAGUCAAACUCCGAAUGCCAAAGACUUAUCCAUGGGAGUCAGACUGCGAGUGAUAAGAUCCGUAGUCAAA
RNAcentral lists this ribosomal RNA (255 nucleotides) under Priestia megaterium. Its description in RNAcentral is "partial 23S ribosomal RNA". It matches the Rfam family "Bacterial large subunit ribosomal RNA", at positions 764 to 1015 of the family's 2925-position model. Lineage: Bacteria; Bacillati; Bacillota; Bacilli; Caryophanales; Bacillaceae. The record is from RNAcentral. RNAcentral also lists the same sequence under 2 other names.